Long non-coding RNA from Ictalurus punctatus (channel catfish), 546 nucleotides. The record is from Ensembl. NCBI's taxonomy places the organism in Eukaryota, Metazoa, Chordata, Actinopteri, Siluriformes, Ictaluridae.
CGCGCUCAUACACGAACUGACUACAUAAGUAGGGUUUUCAUAAGAGGACGCAAGAGAGUUGAGCAGAGUUAAAGAUCUUUGGCGAGAUAAACAAUGACAUUAUGGCCAAAAUGCGAUCAGCAUGACUUCCUCCAAGCCGAUAGCGACUGAAUAAGAGUUUCACACGGAUUCGGCAGUGGAAGAGUUAAAACACACUAAGCAAAUAGUGCAGGAAAAGGAGUGUAUAAAUGUAUAAGGAGAAGGCAGAGUGGAUUACACAGCAUUUAACCUCCAGCCAUACAGCUGUCAGUUCCUCAGAACAGUAAGAGCCUGCACUAAUAUGAGGAAGAUGGCGCUCCACUGGGCAGCCAAGCAGGGCCGCAUUGAGACGGUGGACAUGAUGGCUCGCUCUGGCGCAGACGUCAACCAGCGAGCAGUGAGAGCUGACAGGAGCCAGAGCCCCUACUGACACACUCACAUUUACACCUCUGCAGGGUCUCUGUCUCUCUCUCUCUUUCUCUCUCUCUCUCUCUCUCUCUCUCUCUCUCUCUCUCUCUCUCUCUUUCU